CAGGUAACAUCAAAUCGUACCCCAAACCGACACAGGUGGUCAGGUAGAGAAUACCAAGGCGCUUGAGAGAACUCGGGUGAAGGAACUAGGCAAAAUGGUGCCGUAACUUCGGGAGAAGGCACGCUGAUAUGUAGGUGAAGUCCCUCGCGGAUGGAGCUGAAAUCAGUCGAAGAUACCAGCUGGCUGCAACUGUUUAUUAAAAACACAGCACUGUGCAAACACGAAAGUGGACGUAUACGGUGUGACGCCUGCCCGGUGCCGGAAGGUUAAUUGAUGGGGUCAGCGCAAGCGAAGCUCUUGAUCGAAGCCCCGGUAAACGGCGGCCGUAACUAUAACGGUCCUAAGGUAGCGAAAUUCCUUGUCGGGUAAGUUCCGACCUGCACGAAUGGCGUAAUGAUGGCCAGGCUGUCUCCACCCGAGACUCAGUGAAAUUGAACUCGCUGUGAAGAUGCAGUGUACCCGCGGCAAGACGGAAAGACCCCGUGAACCUUUACUAUAGCUUGACACUGAACAUUGAGCCUUGAUGUGUAGGAUAGGUGGGAGGCUUAGAAGUGUGGACGCCAGUCUGCAUGGAGCCGACCUUGAAAUACCACCCUUUAAUGUUUGAUGUUCUAACGUUGACCCGUAAUCCGGGUUGCGGACAGUGUCUGGUGGGUAGUUUGACUGGGGCGGUCUCCUCCUAAAGAGUAACGGAGGAGCACGAAGGUUGGCUAAUCCUGGUCGGACAUCAGGAGGUUAGUGCAAUGGCAUAAGCCAGCUUGACUGCGAGCGUGACGGCGCGAGCAGGUGCGAAAGCAGGUCAUAGUGAUCCGGUGGUUCUGAAUGGAAGGGCCAUCGCUCAACGGAUAAAAGGUACUCCGGGGAUAACAGGCUGAUACCGCCCAAGAGUUCAUAUCGACGGCGGUGUUUGGCACCUCGAUGUCGGCUCAUCACAUCCUGGGGCUGAAGUAGGUCCCAAGGGUAUGGCUGUUCGCCAUUUAAAGUGGUACGCGAGCUGGGUUUAGAACGUCGUGAGACAGUUCGGUCCCUAUCUGCCGUGGGCGCUGGAGAACUGAGGGGGGCUGCUCCUAGUACGAGAGGACCGGAGUGGACGCAUCACUGGUGUUCGGGUUGUCAUGCCAAUGGCACUGCCCGGUAGCUAAAUGCGGAAGAGAUAAGUGCUGAAAGCAUCUAAGCACGAAACUUGCC
This 1188-nucleotide ribosomal RNA is filed under the name Escherichia coli. RNAcentral's name for it is "partial 23S ribosomal RNA". It matches the Rfam family "Bacterial large subunit ribosomal RNA", at positions 1628 to 2798 of the family's 2925-position model. The record is from RNAcentral. Lineage: Bacteria; Pseudomonadati; Pseudomonadota; Gammaproteobacteria; Enterobacterales; Enterobacteriaceae.